GACGAACGCUGGCGGCGUGCCUAAUACAUGCAAGUAGAACGCACAGUUUAUACCGUAGCUUGCUACACAAUAGACUGUGAGUUGCGAACGGGUGAGUAACGCGUAGGUAACCUGCCUGGUAGCGGGGGAUAACUAUUGGAAACGAUAGCUAAUACCGCAUAAUAUUGAUUAUUGCAUGAUAAUUGAUUGAAAGAUGCUAUUGCAUCACUACCAGAUGGACCUGCGUUGUAUUAGCUAGUAGGUGAGGUAACGGCUCACCUAGGCGACGAUACAUAGCCGACCUGUGAGGGUGGUCGGCCACACUGGGACUGAGACACGGCCCAGACUCCUACGGGAGGCAGCAGUAGGGAAUCUUCGGCAAUGGACGAAAGUCUGACCGAGCAACGCCGCGUGAGGGAAGAAGGGUUUCGGAUCGUAAAGCUCUGUUGUAAGAGAAGAACGGGUGUGAGAGUGGAAAGUUCACACUGUGACGGUAUCUUACCAGAAAGGGACGGCUAACUACGUG
This 505-nucleotide ribosomal RNA is filed under the name uncultured bacterium. RNAcentral's name for it is "partial 16S ribosomal RNA". It matches the Rfam family "Bacterial small subunit ribosomal RNA", at positions 28 to 507 of the family's 1533-position model. The record is from RNAcentral.